Molecule: long non-coding RNA, 1998 nt
Filed under: Mus musculus (house mouse)
Lineage: Eukaryota; Metazoa; Chordata; Mammalia; Rodentia; Muridae
Description: pluripotency associated transcript 21
Source: RNAcentral
GUAGGUCGGUUCCUUGGCAGCCGGCGGGAGAGGCUGUGUGGGGUUAGGCUCCCCAGACAAGGGACUCUCUGCUGCAAAAGGGAGUCCUCCAUUUUAUGAAAAGCUGGGAAGAGCCAUCCAGUCAUGGUAUCUGCGAGGGAGUUUCCCCACGGUCAGGCCUCUGGGGGAAAAAAAAAACAUGUGUGGGAACAUCCAUUCUGCCCGAUUGCUGCUGCUUCUACUUGCUUCAGCAGUGGGAGAGAAUAGCACAUUAUGCCAGUACCAAGAGAUCACCAACAAGAACAGCAGCAGCUGUGGAGUGGAGCUAACCUGAGCCUGGGAGACAAUGAGCGUAAGGGGGGUAACCAACCUCCAACCUCGGGAGAUAUGCUGGGCACUUACUACAACUGAAGUCCUUACCUGGGAAGAUCCAGUGGCCCUGUGGACUGAUACUUCUAUUACAGCCCAAGCCAUGGAAGAGUUCCCCAUUCAUUUACAUUAACAGCAGAGGCUUCUUCAUUAAAAUGGAAAUGAUAUCUACUAGAUCGAAGAGAACUCAGCCCUAAUUGACUGUCACAAUUACAUGAGGAAACAUGCAUGGACUCUGCUAUUAUGCUGAACGUAUUAAGCCCUCCUCCCAAACGGUCUGCCUUUUGUGACAUGCAGAAAGUAAAAGGAACGAUCUCUUUUUACCUAGAGUCUGUACACGGGGUAUAAGGAAGCAAAUCUCUCAGGACUAUUAAAAUAAAAACCACAACUCAAAAAUUCCAGUUUGAGCUGGGCGUGGUGGCGCACGCCUUUAAUCCCAGCACUCGGGAGGCAGAGGCAGGUGGAUUUCUGAGUUCGAGGCCAGCCUGGUCUACAGAGUGAGUUCCAGGACAGCCAGGGCUAUACAGAGAAACCCUGUCUCAGAAAACCUAAAAAAAAAAAAAAAAUUCCAGUUUGGAGAACGUAGGAGGCUAAGGCAGAAGAACUGCCUCAACCUUAAGGCCAGCCUGGAGGUACGUUUGCUUUUGCUGGUAAGUUGUUCUGUUGUUUGAGCUCACUGAGACACUGGCCUUGAGAGUGGGACCAUGGCUCUCUAGUUCAUACACAAGCUUGUUUAUGUCAAAUGUCUUCUGAAGCCUGGUGUCUGGAGAUGGGGCUGGCACCUCCGGGUCUGUGACAAGGAAGAGAGAGAAGAGCAGACCAGCCUAAAUGUGAAGACACUGUGCCUCUGAGAAGAGCAAACUCUUUCCCACAGAUGCUACUAGUAGUUAUCCUGGGAUGGGAAAGUGCCUGCAGCGGGGUGGGAAAAAGAAGCUGAGCUUCAGCCAGGAAGCAAAAUUUGAGGCAGGACUUCCAGCUGCCUGAAAUUUCCCUACUCAGUUUCUUCUGGGUGAUGUGAGGGCUUGACUUUUUUUGAUGUUAUUUUAUUUGUUGUUUUACUUAGGAACUUCACAGGAGGGACACUAUGGUCUACGCAGACACGGAAUCAAUCCCUCCAUUGAGUACUUUUGCUGGUCAUCUUUAAGGGAGCUUUUCACUGGAUCCCUGCUAGAUGUUUUGAGGUUCAUGUUUGAUUAUAUUUUGAUCUCCUUCUAUCGAGUAGUUUAUGUUGGCUGGUUAUAUACUUAACAAACUCACUCAUUCAAAACAAAGAAUGUCUACUGUAGAUCAUUCUACGGACUGUACAGAAUCUCUACCUAAGAAGGAAGUGGCCAGCCAGGGAGACACAGGAAACUGUGUCUGUACUUGCCUGUCAACCCAGUCACCCAGUGGUAUGAGCAGAGAUUUAAGGCCUGCCUGAUCUGCAAGACCUUGUCUCAAAAAUGAAACACAAAUGACAUACAUACCAUUAUCAAGCCAGGCUUCAAUGUGCAUGCCUGUCAUCCUAGCAUUUGGGAGGGUGAAGCAGGAAGACCAUAAAUUUGAGCCCAGCCUGGGCUAGUGAGUUUUAGGCAGUUCUGAGAUACAUAGAGGGACACUGUGUUAAAAAAAUUAAGGAAAGAAAGAAAAUAAAAAUAAAACUCUAGAACA